This 327-nucleotide ribosomal RNA is filed under the name uncultured bacterium. Its description in RNAcentral is "bacterial SSU rRNA". It matches the Rfam family "Bacterial small subunit ribosomal RNA", at positions 477 to 793 of the family's 1533-position model. The record is from RNAcentral.
AGCGACAGAAGAAGCACCGGCUAACUCCGUGCCAGCAGCCGCGGUAAUACGGAGGGUGGCGAGCGUUAAUCGGAAUUACUGGGCGUAAAGACGCAUGCAGGUGGUUUGGUUUAAGUUCAGAUGUGAAAGACCCGGGGCGUCAACCUCGGAAUAGCAUUUGAAACUGGCAGACUAGAGUACUGUAGAUGGGGGGUAGGAAUUUCAGGUGUAGCGGUGAAAUGCGUAGAGAUCUGAAGGAAUACCGGUGGCGAAGGCGGCCCCCUCGGACAGAUACUGACACUCAGAUGCGAAAGCGUGGGGAGCAAACAGGAUUAGAUACCCUGGUAG